GAAUAACUCUUGGAGCAUGCCUUAACGGGUGUGCUUCUGGUCUGAUGGAGCCUCGUCUCCUGAAGAUUUAUGUUUUUUUUUACAUCCAUAACACCUGUGAACUGUUGGAGACUUUGGUUGGGCUUCGGUCCUUCCACUGGCUCUAUUAUACCAAACUACGUAUUGUAACAAAUGUAAACUUAUUUUAAACAAAAUAAAACUUUUAACAACGGAUCUCUUGGCUCU
This 225-nucleotide unclassified non-coding RNA is filed under the name rhizosphere metagenome. RNAcentral's name for it is "partial ribosomal RNA internal transcribed spacer region". The record is from RNAcentral.